Bos indicus x Bos taurus (hybrid cattle) is the source of this 1171-nucleotide long non-coding RNA. The record is from Ensembl. NCBI's taxonomy places the organism in Eukaryota, Metazoa, Chordata, Mammalia, Artiodactyla, Bovidae.
CUCCAUCAAAAUGCUUAGCUUUGCUGCUAAACAGAGGAGUUGCUUUCGUUGUCUGGACUGUAUGAAAAUGUGAACAUCUUUGCAGCGUAUGCUGGGCGCAGGAGAUCUCAGUAUCCUAACACAAAGCCUCGAAACAGCAUGGCUCUGCUUGUUUUAACCAGCAGGGUCAGCAGUCAAGGCGGAGAGAUUAUCUUACUGGAGAGAAAAAAAGGAUCUGGUGAGAUCCUUCCUUAUCUCCCUUCCUUUCCUCCUUUCUUCCUCCCUCCUUCCCUUCUUUUUUUCAUGUCAUGGCCAGGCACUGAACCAUUACCAAGCAUAUAGAUAUAAACACAAAGUAAUUAAAAGACGCUUACUCCUUGGAAGGAAAGUUAUGACCAACCUAGACAGCAUAUUGAAAAGCAGAGACAUUACUUUGUCAACAAAGGUCUGUCUAGUCAAGGCUAUGGAUUUUCCAGUGGUCAUGUACGGAUGUGAGUUGGACUAUAAAGAAAGCUGAGUGGUGAAGAAUUGAUGCUUUUGAACUGUGGUGUUGGAGAAGACUCUGGAGAGUCCCUUGGACUGCAAGGAGAUCCAACCAGUCCAUCCUAAAGGAGAUCAGUCCUGGGUGUUCAUUGGAAGGACUGAUGUUGACCUGAAACUCCAGUAAUUUGGCCACCUGGUGUGAAGAGCUGACUCAUUGGAAAAGACCCUGAUGCUGGGAAAGAUUGAGGGCAGGAGGAGAAGAGGACGACAGAGGAUGAGAUGGUUGGAUGGCAUCACCGACUCAAUGGACAUGAGUUUAGGUGGACUCCGGGAGUUGGUGAUGGACAGGGAGGCCUGGCAUGCUGUGGUUCAUGGGGUCGCAAAGAGUCGGACAUGACUGAGCAACUGAACUGAAUUGAACCUUCCCUUAAGCAGUGCAUGUAGCCUACUGUAAUACAGAAACCAAAAGAAACUUAGCACAGUCUAUAAGACCUGGGGGUGGGGGUGGGGAGAAGAAGCUUUCUACUUUGGAGUUAUACAAAUGUUUAUCUGAACCACUGAUCCAAUAGGUGAGUAUGAAACUGAAAGGAUCUAAAGUACCAAAUGGUGGUUGAGUAAAUACAACAUCAGCGAAGCUGAAAUGCUUCUCUCUUAACUAGACAGUAGGUGAAUUUCCACUGAAAAAUAAAGAUUGUUAAAAAUAAUAACA